UGUGAUGUCAUUAUGGGGUAUUGCGAUGUCAUUAUGGGGUAUUGUGAUGUCAGUAUGGGGUAUUGUGAUGUCAGUAUGGGGUAUUGCGAUGUCAGAGUUUAAGGGUUAAUGUUUCUCUAGGUGGUGGCCCUGAAGCAGGCUCUGACCCCAGAGUUUAAGGGUUAAUGUUUCUCCAGUUUAAGGGUUAGUGUGUGUGUGUUAAUGUGUAUGAAUGUUUCUCCAGGUGGUUGCCCUGAAGCAGGCUCUGACCCCAGAGUUUAAGGGUUAGUGUGUGUGUGUUAAUGUGUAUGAAUGUUUCUCUAGGUGUGGCGGUGGCCCUGAAGCAGGCUCUGACCCCAGAGUUUAAGGGUUAGUGUGUGUGUGUUAAUGUGUAUGAAUGUUUCUCCAGGUGGUGGCCCUGAAGAAGGCUCUGACCCCGGAGUUUAAGGGUUAGUGUGUGUGUGUUAAUGUGUAUGAAUGUUUCUCUAGGUGUGGCGGUGGCCCUGAAGCAGGCUCUGACCCCGGAGUUUAAGGGUUAGUGUGUGUGUGUUAAUGUGUAUGAAUGUUUCUCCAGGUGGUUGCCCUGAAGCAGGCUCUGACCCCGGAGUUUAAGGGUU
Oncorhynchus tshawytscha (Chinook salmon) is the source of this 596-nucleotide long non-coding RNA. RefSeq lists it as uncharacterized. Lineage: Eukaryota; Metazoa; Chordata; Actinopteri; Salmoniformes; Salmonidae. The record is from RefSeq and is a predicted model, not a curated record. The transcript is spliced from 3 exons.